AUCCUCAUGAAACACGCUUUCUCGUGUUGAUAUAUUACGUAAAUGUCUCUCUUUAGGAACAUCAGAUUAAAAACAACAGGAUUAUCUUAAAAUGUUUAUUGUGUUUUUGUUUAUUCUAUACAAAAAAUUAAUAAUAUUUAACUCGAUGUUUUCUCAGUCUUCGUCUUCAGAGUCCGUUUCUAAAAACAUAUGACAGGAUCUCGAUGAGUGUUGGUUUGUUUGCUGGUUUGAUCAAGCAGCAGAGUUGCAAAAAAGCUGCGGGCACGCGGGCAUUGCCCGCGAGGAAGGUUUACCAUAGGUGAGGUCAGUGAGGAAGGUUUAGUGGCCAAUGGUUGCUACCACCAAAAGAGUAAAACAAAUAAAUCAUGGUUGAAUAAGGCAGUUGAGGCUGACAAGUUGUGGUGGCACUAUUGUGAUAUAGUACCUAUACAGAUGACUAUGACAUUGGAGAAUACUGAGAAGACAAAUAACUGAAAAUAUUCUGUAAAAUUAAAAUGUGUAAGUGUCAAGCAUCAGAGGUGCCUUAGGCCACAUAAAAUAACUUGCUGGAUUCUCAUCACCGCCCAACUGUAUCUUAAGAGCCGUGUUAAAAUUUUUUAUAUUUUGUUAUAUAAUAUAAAUGUACCGCCCGACAAAAUAUUUCAAGACAGUUAAGGUAUUUUAUAUUGGGGUUUUAGUGCCAUUUUAAACUGCCAAUUCAAACAAACAGAAAGUUGAAUGAAAUUUCAUUGCAUUUUACAGGAACUUCGCAUUUAGUUCAAGGAGAUAUGUUGGAAAUGACAGAAAUGUGUACUGUAAUAUGUUUAUUUUGGUUUAUGACACUUCACUUCAGAACUCACAGAAAU
This is a non-coding RNA of Paramuricea clavata, 845 nucleotides long. NCBI's taxonomy places the organism in Eukaryota, Metazoa, Cnidaria, Anthozoa, Malacalcyonacea, Plexauridae. The record is from the annotation of a GenBank genome assembly.